CCCUAUGGGGUGCAGCAGGCGCGAAACCUUUACAAUGCACGAAAGUGUGAUAAGGGAACUCCAAGUGCUUAUGCUUUGCAUAGGCUUUUGCCAAAGGUAAAUACUUUGGCGAAUAAGUGGUGGGUAAGACGGGUGCCAGCCGCCGCGGUAACACCCGCGCCACAAGUGGGAACCAUAUUUAUUGGGCCUAAAGCGUCCGUAGCCGAUCUGAUAAAUCUUCUGUGAAAUUGUUGUGCUCAACGCAACAACGCGCAGAAGACACUGUUGGAAUUGGAACUGGGAGGAGUCAGAAGUAUUUCUUGGGGAGCGGUAAAAUGCUAUAAUCCUUGAAGGACUACCAGUGGCGAAAGCGUCUGACUAGCACAGAUUCGACGGUGAGGGACGAAAGCCAGGGGAGCAAUCCGGAUUAGAUACCCGAGUAGUCCUGGCCAUAAACGCUGCGAGCUAGGUGUUGCAUAUUCUUCGUGAAUAUGCAGUGUCGUAAUGAAGAUGUUAAGCUCGCCGCCUGGGAAGUAUAGUCGCAAGACCGAAACUUAAAGGAAUUGGCGGGGGAGCACUACAAGGGGUGCGGCGUGCGGUUUAAUCUAAUUCAACGCAGAGAACCUCACCAGCAGCGACGGCAGAAUGAAAGUCAGUCUAAAGGGCUUACUUGACAAGCCGAGAAGUGGUGCAUGGCCACGGCG
RNAcentral lists this ribosomal RNA (683 nucleotides) under uncultured archaeon. RNAcentral describes it as "bacterial SSU rRNA". It matches the Rfam family "Archaeal small subunit ribosomal RNA", at positions 321 to 1005 of the family's 1478-position model. The record is from RNAcentral.